GCACUGCCGCGGAGUCCCAACAACAGGACGAAACGGCCGUCCAGUGC
This 47-nucleotide non-coding RNA is filed under the name Schistosoma haematobium. Lineage: Eukaryota; Metazoa; Platyhelminthes; Trematoda; Strigeidida; Schistosomatidae. The record is from RNAcentral.